This 406-nucleotide ribosomal RNA is filed under the name uncultured bacterium. RNAcentral's name for it is "partial 16S ribosomal RNA". It matches the Rfam family "Bacterial small subunit ribosomal RNA", at positions 30 to 526 of the family's 1533-position model. The record is from RNAcentral.
AUUGAACGCUGGCGGCAGGCCUAACACAUGCAAGUCGAACGAGUGGCGGACGGGUGAGUAAUGUCUGGGAAACUGCCCGAUGGCGGGGGAUAACUACUGGAAACGGUAGCUAAUACCGCAUACCAUCGGAUGUGCCCAGAUGGGAUUAGCUUGUAGGUGAGGUAACGGCUCACCUAGGCGACGAUCCCUAGCUGGUCUGAGAGGAUGACCAGACACAGUGGAACUGAGAAACGGUCCAGACUCCUACGGGAGGCAGGAGUGGGGAAUAUUGCACAAGGGGCGCAAGACUGAUACAGACAUGCCGCGUGUAUGAAGAAGGCGUUCGGGUUGGAAAGUACUUUCAGCGGGGAGGCGUUACUCGCAGCAGAAGCACCGGCUAACUCCGUGACAGCAGCCGCGGUAAUUC